UGGGGAAUAUUGGACAAUGGGGGCAACCCUGAUCCAGCAAUGCCGCGUGUGUGAAGAAGGUCUUCGGAUUGUAAAGCACUUUCGACGGGGACGAUGAUGACGGUACCCGUAGAAGAAGCCCCGGCUAACUUCGUGCCAGCAGCCGCGGUAAUACGAAGGGGGCUAGCGUUGCUCGGAAUGACUGGGCGUAAAGGGCGUGUAGGCGGUUUACACAGUCAGAUGUGAAAUCCCCGGGCUUAACCUGGGAGCUGCAUUUGAUACGUGUAGACUAGAGUGUGAGAGAGGGUUGUGGAAUUCCCAGUGUAGAGGUGAAAUUCGUAGAUAUUGGGAAGAACACCGGUGGCGAAGGCGGCAACCUGGCUCAUGACUGACGCUGAGGCGCGAAAGCGUGGGGAGCAAACAGGAUUAGAUACCCUGGUAGUCCACGCCUGUAAACGAUGAGUGCUAGAUGUAGGGGAGCUAUA
This 464-nucleotide ribosomal RNA is filed under the name uncultured bacterium. RNAcentral describes it as "partial 16S ribosomal RNA". It matches the Rfam family "Bacterial small subunit ribosomal RNA", at positions 355 to 835 of the family's 1533-position model. The record is from RNAcentral.